This 74-nucleotide transfer RNA is filed under the name Sphaerodactylus townsendi. RNAcentral describes it as "tRNA-Val". It matches the Rfam family "tRNA". From Rfam's summary of the family: Transfer RNA (tRNA) molecules are approximately 80 nucleotides in length. Their secondary structure includes four short double-helical elements and three loops (D, anti-codon, and T loops). The record is from RNAcentral. Lineage: Eukaryota; Metazoa; Chordata; Lepidosauria; Squamata; Sphaerodactylidae.
GAAGGGCUGUAGCUCAGUGGGAGAGCAUCUGCUUGACAUGUAGAAAGUCCCUGGUUCAAUCCCCAGCAUCUUCU